This is a long non-coding RNA of Asparagus officinalis (garden asparagus), 892 nucleotides long. RefSeq lists it as uncharacterized. Lineage: Eukaryota; Viridiplantae; Streptophyta; Magnoliopsida; Asparagales; Asparagaceae. The transcript is spliced from 2 exons. The record is from RefSeq and is a predicted model, not a curated record.
AUAUUCUCCCUACUCCGAAUAUGAUUUACUGCAGAUCGAACGGCCCUUUUAAAAGGAUUUAUUUUCUUAAGAUUACCUCUUAAUGGUUGGGAAGAUUAUACAUAACUAUAAUUUUAUAAUUUAAUUUUCUUUUAAUGGGAAGAUGCAGAUAUUUUAGGCUUGUCUCAACAGGACAACCUACUCUCUCAAAAAUAUCAUACGUCCCUUUUCAGAAAUAGAGCUAAAACCAAGGAAGUAUGUCACCUUCUGCGCUUAAAAUACAACAAAGAUCAAUUCAUGAAAUAUUUUUUGUGGCCCAUAGUGGGUCCCAUUAUUAGAUGCCAACAUAUGCCAUUAUUUAUGCGCUCAAUAGAUAAGGAUGAGGAUCUAUGUCGAUCAUUGUUGGGGCGGUCGGUUUGAAUAAGAAACAGACAACAGUCAACUCUCAUCAUUCUUAUCUAGCACUGGCUAGUUUAAACACACACAUAAUUGUAUUGGAUGUAACGGUCACCUAUUAAUUGGCACUUACAACUCCAACCACUCUAUUUUUCUUAUCUAAUUCCUCCAACCAUUUGAAGAUCUUCUACCCAAAACUCCAAGAGAAAAGACUAAGCAUCUCCUCAACUAAUGUGAUAUAUAACGGAUGGGUAUGGUAAUGCAAUGGAGCAUGGCUUUGUACAUAAUUAAGUUCGUUUGCGUGGGGCUCAAUGGGUGGAUCUCUUUUACUUGGAUGAUGGCUGAUGAGAUUGCGCAUGCUCUGAGGACAUGGGACGUUCGAUUUUUUCCGAUUGAUUUUUGAUGUUCAUGGCUCUUCUUCUUCUUCUUCCUUGUUCAUAGCACUUUUGUUUCAUGUCAUGUUUUUCUGUGAACUUCAGUAAGUUAUUUUUCAAUCUGGAGGGAUUAGUUUCUUUAA